GAGAGCGAGGCGGUGCAGGGGAGGUUCCGGGCCGUGUACGAGAAGCCUCAAGGGGUAUGUGGCGACCAUCGGCAUGCGACUGAUCAGGAGGAGGAGCAGGCAUGUGAGUGGCCCUGCGAGAACCGCGGGGGCAGGACGAAAAUGUCACUUGCACACCACGCUCCUCCUCCUCCAUCUCUUCUUCAUAGUCAGAGCCCUGGAAGAAGAGGACCCUGUGAUCACAGCCCAUUUUCCAGCAUGCUUGUGUGGACGCAACUCCUCCUGAGAGUCAUCAGAACCACCACGACGAGAGGCGCGGGCAGAGGUGAUGAUCUUGCUCAUGGAGAUAAUCAUGAUGAGGGACUUGAUCAUCUUCUUGUUCUGCAACUAUGGGCAUUGGUUGAACAAUAGGAGCUUGUGAUGCUAUGGGUGUUGAAGUGGUUUGAUGAUGUGCGAAACUUCCAUCUUCUUCUUCAUCAUCAUGAGGUUCUUGUUCCAUGGGAAUAAGAGCACCAACACCCAUGGAGAAAAUAUCUUGAGACGAAUCUUCUUCACCUACAUAACUUAGAUCAACUUGCUCCCCAUGGGAGUCAUUAAAUUCAUCAAACACCACAUCACAAGUUUCUACAACACAUCCAUUGGAUUUGUUAUAGACUCUAUAGGCGUGAGAGUUUGAUCCAUAACCAACAAAUAUGACCUCAGUUGUUUUGGAUUGAAAUUUUCCUAACCGUUCUCUUUUGUUGAGUAUGAAACAUGUGCACCAUAAUACACGAAAAUACUUGACAUUUGGCUAUUUACCGGUUAGGAGCUCA
Long non-coding RNA from Triticum aestivum (bread wheat), 791 nucleotides. RefSeq lists it as uncharacterized. The record is from RefSeq and is a predicted model, not a curated record. NCBI's taxonomy places the organism in Eukaryota, Viridiplantae, Streptophyta, Magnoliopsida, Poales, Poaceae. The transcript has 2 exons.